This 142-nucleotide small nucleolar RNA is filed under the name Sorex araneus (European shrew). RNAcentral's name for it is "Small nucleolar RNA SNORA53 (ENSSARG00000018962.1)". It matches the Rfam family "Small nucleolar RNA SNORA53". Rfam says of the family: The snoRNA ACA53 belongs to the H/ACA family of pseudouridylation guide snoRNAs. Lineage: Eukaryota; Metazoa; Chordata; Mammalia; Eulipotyphla; Soricidae. The record is from RNAcentral.
UAGAUUUUUAUAUAAGACACAAUGGCUGACUUUGGUUAUAUCUUUUAUCAAUACACCUGCACGUUAGUCUUAGGUUCUGAUAGAAAUGACAUGCAAUUAAGCUGUCACUCUUGACUAUCAGGACGCAACUGGCGUGGACACU